This is a long non-coding RNA of Eptesicus fuscus (big brown bat), 473 nucleotides long. RefSeq lists it as uncharacterized. The record is from RefSeq and is a predicted model, not a curated record. The transcript is spliced from 3 exons. Lineage: Eukaryota; Metazoa; Chordata; Mammalia; Chiroptera; Vespertilionidae.
GAACAUGCCACCAAAAACACGCCUCCAUAAACAGCCUCAGACUCCUGCUCAACACCAUGUUCCGGGCAGCAAGGCUGAGCCCUGCAGGUAUCGCUUUAAAGGCCCAGAAAUCACCAAUGCACAUUCCUAGAAUCAGAGUCUGAGCACCCUGGGACGUCCCUCCUGCCACACUGCCUCCGCUCCGUGUGCACGCAUGCCCCGGCUUGAAAGCUCCAGGAGGUUGGAAAAUCACCAAGAAAGCUGACCUCUGCUUGUCCCAGAGCUAAUCAUCCUUCGAAAGAGGAACUUGAGAGAAAAUGGAAACAACAGUUUGCGGCACAGGCUGUGGUGGGCAGGGAGCACCCCUGGCCAAUCCCCUUCCUGAGCUGGCCCUGCUGUGAUGCUACAAACCUCCACUGGGUGCAGUGGGCACCUGCACGCCUCCCCGCAGGAGACUGGGCAGGACACCUGCAGGUCCCACAGAUUUCCUUCUC